Molecule: ribosomal RNA, 253 nt
Filed under: uncultured bacterium
Lineage: Bacteria
Description: partial 16S ribosomal RNA
Rfam family: Bacterial small subunit ribosomal RNA
Source: RNAcentral
UACAUAGGGGGCAAGCGUUAUCCGGAAUUAUUGGGUGUAAAGGGUGCGUAGAAGGAGAAACAAGUUGGUUGUGAAAUCCCUCGGCUCAACCGAGGAACUGCAACCAAAACUAUUUCCCUUGAGUGUCGGAGAGGAAAGUGGAAUUCCUAGUGUAGCGGUGAAAUGCGUAGAUAUUAGGAGGAACACCAGUGGCGAAGGCGACUUUCUGGACGAUAACUGACGUUGAGGCACGAAAGUGUGGGGAGCAAACAGG